RNAcentral lists this ribosomal RNA (615 nucleotides) under fungal endophyte. RNAcentral describes it as "eukaryotic LSU rRNA". The stretch from base 236 to 389 matches the Rfam family "5.8S ribosomal RNA". The record is from RNAcentral. Lineage: Eukaryota; Fungi.
GAUCGGUCUCGUUGGUGACCAGCGGAGGGUCAUUACCGAGUUUACAACUCCCAAACCCAAUGUGAACGUUACCAAACUGUUGCCUCGGCGGGAUCUCUGCCCCGGGUGCGUCGCAGCCCCGGACCAAGGCGCCCGCCGGAGGACCAACCAAAACUCUUUUUGUAUACCCCCUCGCGGGUUUUUUAUAAUCUGAGCCUUCUCGGCGCCUCUCGUAGGCGUUUCGAAAAUGAAUCAAAACUUUCAACAACGGAUCUCUUGGUUCUGGCAUCGAUGAAGAACGCAGCGAAAUGCGAUAAGUAAUGUGAAUUGCAGAAUUCAGUGAAUCAUCGAAUCUUUGAACGCACAUUGCGCCCGCCAGUAUUCUGGCGGGCAUGCCUGUCCGAGCGUCAUUUCAACCCUCGAACCCCUCCGGGGGGUCGGCGUUGGGGAUCGGCCCUGCCUCUUGGCGGUGGCCGUCUCCGAAAUACAGUGGCGGUCUCGCCGCAGCCUCUCCUGCGCAGUAGUUUGCACACUCGCAUCGGGAGCGCGGCGCGUCCACAGCCGUUAAACACCCAACUUCUGAAAUGUUGACCUCGGAUCAGGUAGGAAUACCCGCUGAACUUAAGCAUAUCAAAA